GGCGAAAGCCUGAUCCAGCCAUGCCGCAUGCAGGAUGAAGGCCUUCGGGUUGUAAACUUCUUUUGUUCGGAACGAAAAGGUUUGGCCUAAUAAGCUGAGCUCAUGACGGUACCGUAAGAAUAAGCACCGGCUAACUACGUGCCAGCAGCCGCGGUAAUACGUAGGGUGCGAGCGUUAAUCGGAAUUACUGGGCGUAAAGCGUGCGCAGGCGGUUAUGUAAGWCAGAUGUGAAAUCCCCGGGCUCAACCUGGGAACUGCAUUAGUGACUGCAUAGCUGGAGUACGGCGGAGGGGGAUGGAAUUCCGCGUGUAGCAGUGAAAUGCGUGAUAUGCGGAGGAACACCGAUGGCGAAGCAAUCCCCUGGGCCUGUACUGACGCUCAGC
This 383-nucleotide ribosomal RNA is filed under the name bacterium ER-Te-64-slow. RNAcentral's name for it is "bacterial SSU rRNA". It matches the Rfam family "Bacterial small subunit ribosomal RNA", at positions 374 to 752 of the family's 1533-position model. The record is from RNAcentral.